RNAcentral lists this small nuclear RNA (22 nucleotides) under Arabidopsis thaliana (thale cress). RNAcentral's name for it is "snRNA_10891". Lineage: Eukaryota; Viridiplantae; Streptophyta; Magnoliopsida; Brassicales; Brassicaceae. The record is from RNAcentral.
GUGCCUCGGCAUCAGCGUGCUC